RNAcentral lists this ribosomal RNA (380 nucleotides) under uncultured Pseudomonas sp. Its description in RNAcentral is "bacterial SSU rRNA". It matches the Rfam family "Bacterial small subunit ribosomal RNA", at positions 1002 to 1382 of the family's 1533-position model. Lineage: Bacteria; Pseudomonadati; Pseudomonadota; Gammaproteobacteria; Pseudomonadales; Pseudomonadaceae. The record is from RNAcentral.
AGAGAUGGAUUGGUGCCUUCGGGAACUCUGACACAGGUGCUGCAUGGCUGUCGUCAGCUCGUGUCGUGAGAUGUUGGGUUAUGUCCGUAACGAGCGCAACCCUUGUCCUUAGUUACCAGCACGUUAUGGUGGGCACUCUAAGGAGACUGCCGGUGACAAACCGGAGGAAGGUGGGGAUGACGUCAGGUCAUCAUGGCCCUUACGGCCUGGGCUACACACGUGCUACAAUGGUCGGUACAAAGGGUUGCCAAGCCGCGAGGUGGAGCUAAUCCCAUAAAACCGAUCGUAGUCCGGAUCGCAGUCUGCAACUCGACUGCGUGAAGUCGGAAUCGCUAGUAAUCGUGAAUCAGAAUGUCACGGUGAAUACGUUCCCGGGCCUU